Molecule: unclassified non-coding RNA, 353 nt
Filed under: Hevea brasiliensis (rubber tree)
Lineage: Eukaryota; Viridiplantae; Streptophyta; Magnoliopsida; Malpighiales; Euphorbiaceae
Source: RNAcentral
UUUUUCCAAAUGCUAUUUUGCUACCAAUUAAGAUGGGUCAAUUGUUUUUGUGAACCAUUAUACAUGCUGAGCUUCUUGUUUGCGCUGGGGGCAAAUAACAGAAGUUUGUAUAGCAUCAGUUUUGGAAUGAAACUGAGUUAGUGAUUGGAUUUUCAAGAUUUAUGGAAAAAGCAAGUAACUGAGCUGGUUAUAUCAUCAUACUUAUGAUUUUAGAGUUUUUUCCCCCCUCCGUAGUUGCUGCAAUGCACAAGUGAAAUAGUGAGUAUAUGAUUGAUUUGUUCAUUCCAAAGAAUAAGCGGUAAAAACAUAAUGUUUGUUACUCAUGCAGGCUAGGUGCCUGUCAUAGAUUGUUA